GGAGGAAUACUCAAGUGGUUAAGAGGGCUGUCUUGAAAACAGCUAGGCGGUAAAACGUGCGUGGGUUCAAAUCCUACUUCCUCCG
Molecule: transfer RNA, 85 nt
Filed under: Bacillus cereus
Lineage: Bacteria; Bacillati; Bacillota; Bacilli; Caryophanales; Bacillaceae
Also listed under: 4 other names
Description: tRNA-Ser
Rfam family: tRNA
About the family: Transfer RNA (tRNA) molecules are approximately 80 nucleotides in length. Their secondary structure includes four short double-helical elements and three loops (D, anti-codon, and T loops).
Source: RNAcentral